This is a long non-coding RNA of Mytilus californianus (California mussel), 94 nucleotides long. RefSeq lists it as uncharacterized. The transcript has 3 exons. NCBI's taxonomy places the organism in Eukaryota, Metazoa, Mollusca, Bivalvia, Mytilida, Mytilidae. The record is from RefSeq and is a predicted model, not a curated record.
AGUUACACCAUUUGUGGCACAGGUAAGUUAUAGGUUUAGGAUCUUGUAGUGGUAUGGCCAGGGUAGGGGCAAUAGUUACACCAUUUGUGGCACA